CUCAACAUACUCAUGAUCGUAAGAAACUAAGUAAAGGUUGUGAAAAAAAUUUGAUCCCAAAGUAACCUUGAUCCAACCCAUCCAACCUUAUGACAGCACAUGAGCACAUCUCUACAUCUCUUGAUAUUUUUUUUUUUUUUUUCCCUCUUGCUGGGUUUUGUGCCUAGCUGGCCUUUGAAAGAAUCGAACAGCCAAAGUCUUGAUAUUUAAUCACUGUAGUGACUAAGUAAAUAAUUGCGAUGGUUGUCACUAAAGUUUGUGGCAGCACUAGAUGUCUUGUCUGAUUCUGUUUCUGAUUAGCAGAGUAUCAGCUGAAAUGAAAUCACGUUGAAAGUUUGAGGUUGGGGAUGGGACAUCAACUUUAUAAUAUUUAAUUGUUUACUGUCAAUUGUUCAUUUAAAUGAAAGUAAUUGUGGUUAUUUAAAUUGAACAAAAGAAAAAUUGAUAAAAUAGAAGAUUUGAAAAAAAAACUUUCGCGGACUUUAAGUGAAAUUUUAAAUUGAGGUCAAUUUUGGAAAUGGAGGAUAAUUCCAAAGAGUUUGCUAAUGAUGUCAAUAUCAUUAAACCAUUGAAAAAUUUUAAUGAAGCUAUUGUUAAUAUCUAGAAAGUUUUAAAGAUGACGGAGGAUCCAACUUUGUAUUAAAAAUUGACAACUGAAGGAAAAAUAUAAUAUAAUACACUGAUGUCAUUUAAUUUGAAUAGUUUUUGGAUGCACUUGAGAGUACAAGGUGCUGAGCCAGGAGUUGACGAAAUAAGAAAUGAAAAUGACAGAUUGAAAAAAGUUAUGGGAAUAGCGCAAGAAUUAUUUAAUAUAUACAUACACAUGUAUCCAAUAAUAAUCACUCAUAACAUGAAAAUAUAUGACGUAUAAAAACAAGUAUAAACACGUGCUUAUAUUUUUAUCUGUCAAAACAUUUAAAAAAAUGGAAAAAUGUUUGAAAUUAAUGACAAUUUAAAAAUAUUUAUUGUCUUAUUGAUAUGUAAGCAGUCAUUCAAUGCGUUUAAUGUCAACAUAAAUCUCUAAAAUGAGUUUCCAGAUGAUGUAUUCUCUCGUAGAUUCAUUAAUUUGUUACUCAAGGCAACAUCUUUCGAGAAAAAUGACAAUUUGUUGACAUCAAGUCUAACAGUCGAAUUAACGACGACAGAUUUAAUCAAAUUAAAAAAUUUUGCCAUCGGGAAAUCUACCAUGCGUGAAAUAGAUUCAAUUAUUGGUCAUAUUUUUAUAAAACCAGAAAAAAUUUAUACACAAGAUACUUAUUUAUUUAUCAAAGAAUUUAUAUAUUUUUUAAUAAUACACAAGGAAAUAACGUUAAUAACAAUAAUUGUCCUGUGGAUUGCAUGGAUAAUAUUGACAACAAAAUGGAAUAUGUUAAAAAUAACUCUUAUCAUUUUAUUGACAGUAUUCGCAGCGAGUUUUAUUAUUACGUGGUUACAAUUAUUACAUUUUUUUCCGUCAGCUAAACGUCAAGUUCUCCUGUUCUUAGUCUUGACUGUAAUUUGAUGACAACAUAAACUACAAGUUGACAGAAAUCUACAGCGUAAUAAAUAUGCAUUGAAUCAAAAAAUUGCGGGACAAAAAACUUGCAGAGCAUAAGUUGGAUUAAAUCUGACAGAAAAAAGCUGACAAGUUGAAGUUUUGAACUAUUUGUAUUAUCAACUUUUAGCAGUCAACUUGAUAUCUUCAAUUGAAGCUGAGAUAAAGCUGACAAUGAAGCAGGUUCAGUUUGCGCAGGCACCAAUUCAAUGUAAUCCACACAAAAUGUCCUGGUGGGAUAAAUUAUAGACAGCAUGUAGUUCUGUAGAUGAACAUCAAAAAUAUUACGAAGCGAUGAUGGAAAAUCCAUUUCUUCAAGUGACUUCAGCACAGGCGCUGUCUAAAAUGAUAGCGGCAUGUGUGGUAACAUCUGUUGGGUUAAUUGGUCAUGCUAUCGGAGAUUUUGUCAAUAAUGCGAAAAAAAAAUCAAUGAAAUAAAAUCAAUUUUUUUUUUGUUUUAGAAAAUCUUUGGUUCCCAAUUCAAAUGGUCGUUGCGCCAUUAUUAAUAAUCGGAACAAUAUAAGUUACUGGAAUGGUAUUGGCUAUACUCGGAGGUGAAUCUUUGAACCUUUGGGGCUUUGGGCCUUUUCCUGGUCUUUCAUUACGCGGACGUACAGAGUCACGCAAUAGUAAUUUACCAAGUACUGAUUCACGAAAUACCGGUACCAAUUCAAUGUAAUCCACAUAAAAUGUCAUGGUGGAAUAAAUUAUGGACACUGUAGAUGAAUGUCAAAAAUAUUACAAAACGAUUUUUAAAAUUUUAAUUAAGUUGUAAACAUUUUACUUACAUCGAUAAGGACUGAUGAUUGUCAAUAAUUUCAUACUAAAACUAAUACUACUGUAAUUAUUGCUAAUAAAUUAAUUUUUUUCUUAAUUUAAUUUAAAAUUAGUGAUCAUUUAUUCACUCCCGGAAAGCGCAUAUAUUAUUAGUUAUUUACAAUAAUUGAAAUAAAAGAUAAUAGAAAUUAUAAACAAAUUGUUUUUUUAAUUAUAUAUGAAAUAUCCAUGAAAAAUAUUAAAACUGUGUUUUUUUCUAUUUUUUGUUAAUAAUAUGGUUAUUUUUUUAACGUUUCAACGCCGAUAUAUUUUGAAAUAAUUAACGUUUUUUGACGUUUUAGAUGGUAAUCGACGUAUUUAAGUUCUAGAGCUGCUGAGGUUUCGAAGUCGAUAAUUAAUUAAUAAAAUAUGGUCAAGACGUCAGCUAAUUUUAGUGUCAUAUAAAAAUGUAAGUGCAAGUUAUGAAUAAUGCCAAGUACUUCAACAGUAUGCCAAUAAACGUGAUAACCUGAUAACAUUUAAUUUUUUUUUGUUUUGUACGUAAAGUAUACUGUAAUUUUUUUAAAAAUUUUUAUAUCGUAAAUAAUAAGAUGAAAGUAGUUAUUUAAACUUGCACAGAUAUCUUUUUGAAAGUUCAAAUAAAUAAUAUGAAUUAUAAGUUAUAUGGAAAUUUAUAUCAAAAUGUUUACAAGUAAUGUGUAGUUAAUUUUUAAAAAUGUGUCAGGUAUUUUUCAUCUAGCUUAUUAUUAUGA
Microplitis mediator is the source of this 3063-nucleotide long non-coding RNA. RefSeq lists it as uncharacterized. Lineage: Eukaryota; Metazoa; Arthropoda; Insecta; Hymenoptera; Braconidae. The record is from RefSeq and is a predicted model, not a curated record. The transcript is spliced from 8 exons.